UUUUCCUAAACAAACAAUACUAAUAUUUUGAACAAACAGUUGCAAAGCUAAACACAACUCAAGAAAUUAUUUCCCCAGGCAGAUGUCACACCCCAUAUUAAACAGAGCAGCACAUGCCUCAACCAUGUAUGAAAACAUUUAUGUGUGUUUUCCAAGGACCACAGUUUUAUGCCUUUGACACUAUCAUGGGGAGAAGAACAGAGUAGAAUCCUUCUCUAGGCUUCUGAGGAGAGUGAUCAACAUUCCCCUCCCAAUGAGCAAAGCAAGGGCCUGCUCAUCACCUUUGGAACACACUGCCUUUGUUUGAUCAUGGCUGUGACUGAGUUCCUGAGAACUUACAUCUCAUAUGAAACAAUGAAGAUAACUCAGAAGACCCCAUUCUGGAAGAAUGUGAUUCCAUGCUCUUGUCCUCUGCCUAGAGCUGGUGUAGAAGGGACAUUGACUUUCAGAGAUUUGGGUUUGAAUUCUACCCUUGCCACUUCCUAGCCUUAGUUUCCUCACCUGUAAAAUGGAACUAAUAACCUACCUCAAUGGACUUUUUAUAAGGAUAUAAUUAGUUACCACAUGCAAAGUGCCUGGUGUGCAAUAAACACUCAUAAGUAAUGUCAUCAUGAUUUAUACAAAUCACCAGGCUAGGAAAAUCUGUUCUGGUUCUCUUGCUGUCACUUUCUCCCAGAUGUCUGCCAUUUUGAAAUUUGCCCUGUAAUUAAAUAUUUUCAGUCAAAUCACUUCCUUGAGGUUUAUGGUAACAUGCAUUCUAAUUCAUUGUUGGGAUAGUUAAUUUUCUAGGUAUUUCUGAACUUAAAAAAAAAUAGAAAUGCUCUAUUUAUUCACAUUUAUUUCUUCCUUAAAAGCACUGGUUGAGAUCAUGAGACCAUUACCUCAGAGAGCUCAGACAUUAUUAAAACAAAUUACUCUAGGCCAGUGUAAGGAGAGCCCUAACACUCACUCUCACAGAGGAGGCUGGGAGGCCCCUUGAGAAGGAGUGAAAGAAUGGAUCUCUUGUUGGCUCACACACAUUAUUUAGAAAUAGCUUAUUUUGUUAAUAUCACCAGAUGGUUCCAAGCCAUACAUAAAAACAUUCUACCCCACACUGAUUUGCUUGACAAGUGUCCCACAACAAAGGGAGUUAACUAGACUGAAAGGCAUGUGUCUAUUUAGGGGCAAGCCUGGUUCAAGGUUCAUGUGGUCUGUUGAUGAGAGCUCUUUCUUGGGAAUACUAAAAUCCUAAUGUUGAUGAGAAAAGUACUUUCUUGAGCCAGAAAUUAUGCACUGCAAAUUUUAUUCUACCACUUCCUGGUGAUGUGGCAAGAGUCAAAUGUUUCAUCUCUAGGCCACCAUUUCUUCGUUUGUAAAGCAGAGAUAGUAAUAGGUGUCUCACAGAGUCCUAGUAAGAUUUAAGUGAUUAUUACGGAAGAAUCUGGAACAGAAACAGAUCUACAGCAAGCACCCAACAAAUGUUGGGUGAAAUAUUAGUUGACCCAGUAGAUCAAUCUGAAUACAUGUCUUCAUAUUUCAGAAUCUAAUUUCAAGAAGGCAGGGAUGAUAAUGGCGUGGAAAGUUUUCAACUUUGAGUCAAGAAAAAAAAGCUAAACUGUUCUUACUACUUGCUGUGUUGCUUUGGGCAAAUUGCUCAACUUUUCUGAGUCUUAUUUUUUUAAUGUGCAGAAUGGGGCAUAAUAAUAGUAUCUCUUCUCUGUAGUUUCUAGGAUUACUGAGGGAGCAAAAUUUGUCUCUGUGUAUCCCCAGCCUUCAGAUUCUUCAUUCAUUCUCUUCCUAAAAGUAACAACAUUGUUGAAUGUGUAUUUGAGUUUUCUCAAAUUACUAACUUUUAAUGGAACAGAUAGCCUUAAAAACAUCCAGUGGCAGAAUCAGUUAACUUCUGGAAUUUUCUGAGGGAGUAUUUCAUAUGCAAAGGCAAAUUAGCAAUACUAAUAGAACAUUAGUAAGAGCAGUGGUUAAGAUAAUUAUCCAUCUCUGGGGAAAUGCCACCACCUUCUGUGAUCUUAUGCUUUCAAAUGCAGUAAGAUGCAAUAAUUUCAUGAUAAUUUCAGUUUCAGAACUACCUUAACUAAGUGUCUGAAUAUUCAUUUCUGAAUACUCUACAAGCCGAAUAUUACAGCCAGUUGGCUGCAGUGUUGGAUAAAUCAAAGGAUAAGGCUAAUGAAAUCCUGAGCUUGUCAAGGAUUCAGACCCAGUGAAUUGGUUGGUAUUCUAGAAAAUGGGGUAUGCAUGGAAGUAAAACAUUGCCAAGAGGAUAAUAACUUGGGUUUGAUUUAGUUGAACAGAAAAUGCUUAAGUUAAUUUAUCCUCUUUCAUUGUCGGAGGG
Lynx canadensis (Canada lynx) is the source of this 2329-nucleotide long non-coding RNA. RefSeq lists it as uncharacterized. The transcript has 2 exons. Lineage: Eukaryota; Metazoa; Chordata; Mammalia; Carnivora; Felidae. The record is from RefSeq and is a predicted model, not a curated record.